UAUGUUUCAAGCAUUCAUAUGAUCAUGUAAGCCUACCAAUACAACUAUAUGCAUCAAUUAGAAAACCAUUACUCUUAGACAUAUAGGCGACCUAGUCGCUUCGGUGAGCACAACCCACCUCAAAAUGCUUUCCGAUUGCUUGUAGUCACUUGCAAUCGGCCUCCCGCGGCACCCGGCACCUGGUUUGGCCCGAUCUCUCGCGCGACCACCCGAACG
RNAcentral lists this long non-coding RNA (216 nucleotides) under Ananas comosus (pineapple). Its description in RNAcentral is "long non-coding RNA (ACOM_LNC039962)". The record is from RNAcentral. Lineage: Eukaryota; Viridiplantae; Streptophyta; Magnoliopsida; Poales; Bromeliaceae.